GCCGGAGUGGCGGAAUUGGUAGACGCAGGGGACUUAAAAUCCCCCGGUAGAAAUACUGUACCGGUUCGAGUCCGGUCUCCGGUACCA
This 87-nucleotide transfer RNA is filed under the name Candidatus Crickella equi. RNAcentral describes it as "tRNA-Leu". It matches the Rfam family "tRNA". From Rfam's summary of the family: Transfer RNA (tRNA) molecules are approximately 80 nucleotides in length. Lineage: Bacteria; Bacillati; Bacillota; Clostridia; Peptostreptococcales; Anaerovoracaceae. The record is from RNAcentral.